CCUACGGGUGGCAGCAGUGAGGAAUAUUGGUCAAUGGACGCAAGUCUGAACCAGCCAUGCCGCGUGCAGGAAGAAGGCUCUAUGAGUUGUAAAUUGCUUUUGUACGAGGGUAAACGCAGAUACGCGUAUCUGUCUCAAAGUAUCGUACGAAUAAAGAACGGCUAACUCCGGGCCGGCAGCCGCGGUUAUACGGAGGAUUCAAGCGUUAUCCGGAUUUAUUGGGUUUAACGGGUGGGUAGGCGGUCGGAUAAGUUAGAGGUGAAAUCCCGAGGCUCAACUUCGGAAUUGCCUCUGAUACUGUGCGGCUAGAGAGUAGUAGCGGUAGGCGGAAUGUAUGGUGUAGCGGUGAAAUGCGUAGAGAGCAUACAGAACACCGGUUGCGAAGGCAGCUUACCGAGCUACUUCUGACGUUGAGGCGCGAAAGCGUGGGGAGCAAACAGGAUUAGAUACCCCAGUAGUC
RNAcentral lists this ribosomal RNA (460 nucleotides) under uncultured bacterium. RNAcentral's name for it is "partial 16S ribosomal RNA". It matches the Rfam family "Bacterial small subunit ribosomal RNA", at positions 338 to 795 of the family's 1533-position model. The record is from RNAcentral.